RNA transcript from Gopherus flavomarginatus (Mexican gopher tortoise), 8262 nucleotides. It is a transcript of the gene named pannexin 2, with no coding region annotated. The record is from RefSeq and is a predicted model, not a curated record. The transcript is spliced from 2 exons. Lineage: Eukaryota; Metazoa; Chordata; Testudines; Testudinidae.
CUGAUGAGUCAGUUCAAGUUUUAUGUUUUAAUUCCUUAUAUGUAAUCAUUUCUGCAUAAAUGAUGCUUAUUUCACUGUGUAGUACAGUUUCUACAUGAGUUCAAUGUCUCUUGACGCAUUUCAUUAUCUAUAGUAUGUUUUAAAUCAUGUUUGUUGAGGAUUUAUUAAAUACACAAUGAGAUUCUCUUUUUUGGUAUCUCUGAUCAACUUCUCUUACUAAUAUUCUUGUUUCAAGAUGUGGGCAGUGUAUGUUACACAUACUCAAGUCAUCUGAUGUAUCUAUAAAGUGGCUUUUAAUUUAUGUGUUUUUUUUUCAAAAUUCUCUCUGGUUGCACCUAGAGCAGCAUAUGGCAGUAAAGUACAAAAAACUAUUUUUUAUUAUUAUUAUUGCUAAGAGUACAGGGCCAGAUUCUGUCUUGGUUACAUGAAGGUAUAAUUAAGGGCAGAAAUUUGUCCCACAAGUAUUUUGGCCCCACUUAAGUUCUACUUAUUACAGACCCUUAGGUCCUGAUUCAGCAAAUAUGAUGAGAGGAGCAGCAAUGGGCUUAAGCACAUGCUUACAUGUUUUGUAGUAUCCGGGCCUUAUACAGGAUAUAAAUGGCACAUAGAGUCUUUUGUAGGCUCACUGCUCUGGUGGGAAUUUCACCUAAAGGUUGAAGAUAGUUCCCAAAUAAAUAGGACCCUACCAAAUUCAUGGUCCAUUUUGAUCAAUUUCAUGGCCAGAGGGUUUUAAAAUUGGUCAGUUUCACAUUUUUAGAGGUUUACAUCUGAAAUUUCACACCAUUGUAACCGUGGGGGUCCCACCCAAAAGUGCAUCGCGGGGGGUCACAAAGCUGAUGUAGGAGUGUUGUGGGAUUGCUUCACUUCUGCACUGCCUUCAGAGCUGGGCUCCGAAGGCAGCAGCCACAAAACUUCCCCGCAGCCAGGGGAGAUUCAAGGAGGUGGAGGUGGGUCUGAUCUCCCCCAUGCUGCUGGGAGCCUUCAGAGCUGGCAGCAUCCAUGGAGCUUCCUGCAGUCAGGGAAGAUACCCAGAGGUGGGUCUGAGCUCCCCCUCAGGAGCAGCCCUGCAGGGGAAGAGGAAGCCCUGUCUCUCCCCAGCCCCGUCAGGACUAGCAGCUGGAGCCCAGUGAAUAGUAGGAAUAUCCAGCUGGGGUGUCCCCAGCCCUGCCCCUCCAACAGCUAGAUUUCACAGGGGAGAUCUGAUUUCACGGUUCGUGACGUGUUUUUUGUGGCCGUGAAUUUGGCAGGGCCUUACAAAUAAAGGAUAGACGCAAGCUGGCCUGUCCUCAGGGGCAUGCGCAAAAACUUAAAUUUGAUGGCUUUUGGAAGGACAUUUCUGUGCCAGGGCCAGAGGAGCUCGCUCUCACUGCCAGAGCCCCAGGGUCUCUGCCAAUUAUUGGGGCAAGGAUGUCCAUGCCCCUGCAUUCUACCCUCUUGUGCACCCCCCUGCCUGUCAUGAACUUAACUCAAGAGGCAAGGCAUACUUAUCCAGUAGAGUUGUUUUCUACAAUCAAAAAACAAUUCAAAGGAAUAGUGUAAAGAUCACAUAUAAUAUUUCUGGAAGUAACGUGCAGUUGUCUGUCCUGGCUUCUAGUUCUCAGAGAAUGCAUGGAGACGUGAGCAUCCUGUUCUUCUCAUGGGAUCUCUGUGUGUCAGGUGUCAGAUGCAUGCUGUUGAGGACUGAAGUGUGAAUGAGUUGAAGUUUAACAUGUACUUACAGACACCUGAAGGAAUUCACAGUGACCUAGGUUAUCUGUUUUGUUAGAUGCUGCCUUACUCAGUCUUAUUCAAGAGGAAAACGUGGUUAAAUAAUAUUGGGAAUAUGACUGAAGUUCCGGGAAGUUCAUAGACUUGGAUUUUAAAGCCACCUGAGGGCUUUGGAAGCCUUAUUUACCAUUAACUUUAAGGAGAACGGCAUCCAGAUAUCCUGGGAAAAUCUCAGCCCCUAUGUAUUGGAGGCUGAAAAAGGCUGCAGAAAGAAUCAGCCUCACCAUUGAAUUGUCAGCAUUAAGACCUGUGUGGUGCAUGAGUUAAAAGUCAAAUAUGUAUAAAUGUUAUUGUUGGUGGCAUAUUAUUUAGUAGAUUGAUAUGAUUCCUUUGGAGAUUUCUUUUGCAUCAGACAGGGCCUGAUCCAAAGGCCUCGGAGGCAGUCUUUGCAUUGGCUGACUGGAUUUUGGAUCAGGCCCAUAUUUAUGCGCUUGUAUUUGAAUUUGGAAGUACAAUGCUCCAAUAGCACUAUGGUAGCAGCUUUUCUUACACUUCCGGUGGCCAUCACACAGACUUUAGGAAGCUGAGAGAGCAGCAUUUCGGCCAAUCCUCUGAGAAGUCCCAGUCAAUGUUAUGGUCCUGAGGCACUAUUCCUAGGGCACUGUCAGUGUAGAGCCAUCUAAAGACAUGUUUAAGUCAUUACUUGUGAUUAUUUUAUUUAAUGAAGGAGUGGGAUCCGUUUAGGGGUUGUGGGGAGCUCACCAUUUGCAGGCUCCAGGGGUUUGAGGAAGCCAGUUGGGAGGGAAAGCAUGACCUCUUUCCAAUAUAGAUAGCUGAUGGAGUGGGUGGACCAGUUCAGGAGGGCAAGAGGCAUCUGCAGUGGGAUUGUGAUGCUAUGUGAUGACAUUCUUAUGGCUCUGCACUGACAUUUUGCAAAAACCAGUUUUUUUACAUACAGGGCAGCUUAUUUUUUAAAGGGCAAUAGUCCAGGGUCUUCCAUAUCACCUUCCAAAAAAAUCCCAACAACCUACUAGAAGAGAUUACAAAUAUUUAACUACCUUAUGGGCUCAUUUUUUGACAUGUUUGUUUGAUUGUUUUUUUAUACUGAAACUAUUUUUGAGUUAUACCUGGGCAAAAAAGCUUCUGAUAAAAGUCAACUUUUACACUUCUGAUCAUUAUAAAUAUGAAUAUAACAAAUAUGAUAUUUCCACCAUUUAUGCUGUUUAUUUUUUGCACUUGACCUGCUUAGACUGUGCAGUUAGACCAGGUUGUAUAUAACGAGUUUUACUUCAUGGUCAGAGUUCAUUUCACUUUGGCUUUUCAUGCACAAGCAAAGGUUACUUAUAGGUAUUUCUGUGGUGAUGAUUAUUAAUGUAUCUACAUAAGAACGGCCAUACUGGGUCAGACCAAAAGUCCAUCUAGCCCAGUAUCCUGUCUUCCGACAGUAGCCAAUUCCAGGUGCCCCAGAGAGAAUGAACAGAACAGGUAAUCACCAAGUGAUCUAUCCCUUGUCACCCAUUCCCAGCUUCUGGCAAACAGAAGCUAGGGACACCAUCCCUGCCCAUCCUGGCUAAUAGCCAUUGAUGGACCUAUCCUCCAUGAACUUAUCUAGUUCUUUUUUGAACUCUCUUACAGUCUUGAUCUUCACAACACGGAUUUCAAUGGGAGCUAAAUGCCUAAAUAGCUUUUAGGGAUCUGGGCCUGAGUGUUUAUAUGGUUGCUUUGGGCUUUUGAUCACUGGAGAGGAACUUUUAAAUUGCUAAAAAAUAUUUUAAUUUUUUUUUUAUUUCAUGGAAUAUUUCUUUAUUCACUUUGAGUGAAAUUCAUCUCCAGGCAGAAGGCCUGUCCACUAUUUAAUUCCUCAAAUUAGGGCUGAAUUGAAAAGUAAACAGUGCACAGGUCUCUCUUUGGGGCCCUGUGUAUAGGAUGAAUUUCACUGAUUACAUUUUGGUCAUUCUCCAAGACCUAAACUUGCCUUCUAACUGACCUGAUAUUGUCCCUUAAAGCUUUACAUCAUGGAAAUCAAGAUCACAGAACAGAAACACACGUGGUUAUGAGGGUAAGCCAUGUCACUUUCCUCCAGAUGUCUGUUUUUCCUCGCAGAGUUCUGUAUAGCACAGGAGGAAACGGUUGAAGUGGGGUGCAGCAGUACAUCACUAUGGAACAUCUCUGUACAAUGAUAUUAUCAUCUUGCAACAUGGUCAUCGCGUAUUGGAUGAUAGCUCAUUAUUGAAAAAUGUCUCCCCAUAGGAAGCAGUCUAGGGGCUUUCAACUAGGAAUUUCUGACACCCCCUACCGCACCAGUUGCUAUUUCUGAACUAAUUCUCUCACUCUGGGCCUCCACGUUUCAAUGAGGACCCAGAUAAAAAUAUUUCUCUUCCCCUGGGGGAGGCAUUACAAGGCACUGUUGAAGCCUUUACGCCUCAUUCCCUGGUAAGUGAAUUUUAGCAUGUGUUGUGUAGUUAAUUUUAGAAAAGGUAAUGUCUACUAUAUGUAGUUAAUAAUUUGUAGCAAAUACUCUCCCAAAUAACUUUGUGUGUAUGUUACUUAUGUAGUGAUAAUUUAGGACUAUGCUGUAGGACUUGAAAUGUAUGUAAAUAAAGAAUCGACACUUCAUGAGAAGAUACAAUUAUAAAUAUUGGUCCUGUUUCUGCCACCCUUAUUUACCUUCAUUGUACCUAUCUGUGUGGGUAGUCUAUUUGCUAUUAAACAUAAAGACUGCUUAUGUACAUCAUACACAGUUAUGGGUAAGGCAUGUAGAAUCUGGGACAUUUAUCAGCAAUAGGGUAGUCCUUUUUCUUGAUUUUAUUUUUUCAAUUAAUUUUCUUUUUAAACAGGCCAACUGGAUCUAGAAAAAAGGAGAAUAAAUGUCAGUACUUAUGCUUUCUCGUCAUGGCAGAAAUUGUGCCUCAGGAAGACAAACUGAAUCAUCAGGCAUGGAACCUACAGUCUGAAGUGAAGGACAGUACUCCUAAAUAAAGAGAGAAGAGGAUCCAGAGUCAUUUUCCUUUAAACAUUACUUUAAAAAAACACAAUUAGUUACUUUUCUUAAAAUAAAAUACUUUGGUUACAUGCUUUAUUGCGCAUUUAUUCCCGAGUUAUGUACCUAGUGUGUAUGAUGCAUGCCUGUGGCUGUUUGAUUGCAUGUAUGUUGAUACUGUGAUAUAUUGUGGAUGCGCUGCGUGUGUGGCAUGAUAUUGUACUGCAAUAUGAUAGACCUGUCAAUGUAUGAUAGUAUUCUGUACCAGCUGAGCUCAUGAAGCUUCUCAUCUGGCUUAUGUAGCAGAAGCCUGUGUUUCAGUGGUAUCUAAUGCAUAUGUGUAAAUCUGGAUUGUGACGAAUAUCUGUUUAAAGCACUGGAUCUUCACAGUGUUCCCUGAAGCCUAAGGGAAUUGUAUUAUGGAAUAUUUCUGUAGCAUUGCCUAAGAAGGGCUUGAUUCUGCAAGGUGCUAAGCAAUCUGUGGAGGUGCUGAGUGCCUUCAGCUCUCUCUGACUUCAGCAUGUUGCAGAUUUAGGCCCCCUGGCCCUGAUUCAUCAAGGCUUUCAUGCAUAAUGCUAAGCAUGUGAGUUGUCCCAUGGACUUUCAUGAAUGUGUGUAACAGUGUUGUUAAAUUGUACACUCUUAUGUGGCUCUUAUGUUUUAGAAACACAUUUAUAAGAACAUUGCAAUCAGUAGGUUGUAUACAUAGCUAAUUCCUUGCUAAAAAUGUACCAGGGGAGGAUGAAAUGCUGGCUCCAUUGCAGUCAAUGGCAAAAUUCCCACUGACUUCAGUGGAGCCUGGAUUUCACCAUGAGUGUGUGUUGCGCCUCAUUAUUUAAAUACUACAUCACUAUUCAUAGCAAACCUGUCAAAAUAAUAAAUAUGUAAAACAAUACAAUAUCCUAAAUAAAUAUCAAUAAACAAAACACCAGUUAAAAAUAGUACAGCGUGCUCAAUAACAGUAAUGAACAACAAAACUCCCACUUCACACCAUACAGUGAGAGCAGCUGAAAAACAGGCAUUUAACAGUGGAAGAGCUAGCAAACUUCCCCAGCAGAACUUUGACUUUCUUUGCUCGACAGGAGAAACUCAUAUUUGAAGUCAUCUCUAAUAAAUGAGACUCUGUUUGGUUCAAACGUUGUAGUGCAACUCUUCAGAUUUUUCUCUCUGACCAAUGUGAAUGAAAUGGUUGCAGAGUAAGAACUCCUGUGCAUAAUCUAUAGAGAUUUGCUCUUAUAGAGGACUCUACACUUGCUCCAGUGCCCACUGAAGUUAAUGGAAAGACUCCAGAGAGCCCAAUUAGACUGGGUUGAGCCCAGUUAGAUAUUGACCUGCCAUGACUCUUGAAAUACAUAGAAAUGUUAUUCUGGUCAGUCUCUCUCUCUUUUUCUCUACAUUCUCUCCUAUGUGCUAUACAUAGUUGGACAGUUAGUAUAUUUAAAUGAUUAUACCAGAGUACACUACUCCUUGUGCCAAAUUUGAAAUAUGUGCCCAAUCCAUGGUGCAUGCACAUCAAUAACAAUGCUAAGUAUAUGACCUUUCAUUGAGAUUGUUUGUUUGUUUUUAUUGCAUUGCAAUUCUGUGUUGAAAUAUUGCAAUAGUUAUCUUAAUUGUGGGGCCUCAGUGGAAAAACAAAAACAAAAAAACAAUGUUUAUGAUUUAUUUCGUAACACCAGCUGGUGCAUGGAUCCAGAAUAAAUGCAAUUGCUUUGUGCGAGCAAUUGUAUACAGUCUUGACUGCAUGUUUUUGGUACAGUACGUACUGUGACUUAGGAGAAAUGAUCACAUACUUUUCCACAGGAGAAGUUGUUUUUCUCUGAAACUUAAUUUGGAGCUGACAAGUGUGGCUUAGCACAUGGAAGAUCUUUUAAUAUAUUUCUGGAUAUAAAAAACUGCAUUCAGUGUCUGUGCUACUUUUUUAACUGAAACUUUUCUUCCAUAGGAACCUACUGAAUCUCUAGGGAAACCUUAGCAGUAAGGUAGUAACAGUAACCAACCCCCUGACGGCAGGAGUUGGAAUUUCUUGGCACACAUCUCCCAUGAUCAGUAAUGGGAUGCGAUAUGAUUGCCGAAAACCAGGGAGCCAAUGAGCAUUUUCCUAGUAGAAGCAGGUGGUAGAUGCUGCAGCUGGAAUUUUUUUCUAAUUGCUGGAAUUUGGGGCUCAUGCAACCAGAAAAGAUAUUCGAGUAAAGAGACUCUGGAAAUACACCUAAAAAUGAGUCUAAAUGAGAAGUUGAGUAACAUUAACAUACUCUUCUUAAACUGUCCUCUCUGAAAGGUUGGAACUGAAUCAUUUUGAGGUAUUGUUUUACUUUCUGUUGUAAAGGUACUUAAUUCUAAUUCAUUAGGCUUAUCAAAUGAAUUGACUUUGUAUUGUUUAGUAGCAUUUAUUGUAACUGUUCCACCCAGAUUAGUUGUACUUUAGAAGCUAAUCCUUAUUGCAGUGCAUUGCUUCAAAAAAAACCAAAAAAAAAACCCCCCACAAACCGCCCCUGACAAAACACCUAAAACUAACCCUGAAACUUACACUGAUUUGAUUACAUGAAGACCCAGUAUGUGCAUGUGCCUUUUGGAUACUUCCACAGUACAAGAGAACUGUUCAGUUUCCCUUGCGAGGCUCAGUAAAUUUGGCAGGUGGGGGUCUUUUUUUUUUUUUUGCCUACUGCUGCAGCAAAGAUUAGAGCUUCUUUGCGCAUGUGAUUUAUGGGGAAGGGUUUAAACACUGUAGAGGAAAUUGUUAGUCAUUGAUACCAAAUGAAACAACUCUCAAGGCGUGUUACAAUUUGUAAAGACCCAGCAGCCUUAACUGACCCUUAAAAACCCUUUAAUCCUGUUGCUCCCAGAGCCCAGGUUGUGUGUUCAUAAUAGAAACAAGCUUGGUGUUUUUGGCACAUUCUGUGUUCAAGAAGAAAAAUAUUUACUUAAUGUGGGUCUGAUUUAGCAACUGCUUCUUGUAAUGCCUGUCAAAACACUAUAAAAAUUUACUCCAUAUCCAGUACUCUCUAGAGACAUAUCGUUGAGCUGACAUGGAUAUAGUACAUGCUUUCUCCUCUAAGAGCAUGUCUAGGUCAAGGUCAUUAUUGUGUUAUUGUGAGUAACUAACAAUAGUGCAACUUUCACUAGACUUUAUAGAAUAUUUUAUUGCUAGUCUUGAAAAAUCUUUUAACAGUAAAUAUCUGAAGGUAAAACUAAAUAUUUACCAUGCUAAAUAGACUGUUACACCAACAGAGAAUGUCCAAUUAUUACCACUGAAAUCGAAGAGACACUUGAGAUGAAGUUGACCCAGUAUCUAGAUGAUAUUAAGUUUAAAUUUUCUCUGUCAUGUUCAGUACAAUAGUCCUUGUUACUGUGAGUUUUCACAGGAUUAGAUUCAUUGACUUCAACUACAAAUAAUUUGGCUUUAUUAAUGAAAAAAUAUUUCACUAAGGUGAGUCAUAUAUUAUGCUUAUUUCUAUAGGGAAGGCAUGUCCUUUUGAUAAACAGUCUCAGUUGCUGUACAGUGGUUAAGGAUAUCCUGUUCAUUAGCUGUCCAGAGUUCAGUGUGGAGUUCUACAUUGGAAGUGGUAGCCAAUGCA